Ipomoea nil (Japanese morning glory) is the source of this 149-nucleotide long non-coding RNA. RefSeq lists it as uncharacterized. NCBI's taxonomy places the organism in Eukaryota, Viridiplantae, Streptophyta, Magnoliopsida, Solanales, Convolvulaceae. The record is from RefSeq and is a predicted model, not a curated record. The transcript is spliced from 2 exons.
UGGCAGGUAUAGUUCCAGAGAUUUGAUUGAACGAGAUAUCUCUGAGGCAAGAACCGAUCAAUAGAAAAAGGCAACAAGGUACAACUUUAGCACUGUUUUCUCGUUAAAAUCCUCGGUUUCAACCACACAACAGAAGAAAAGCUCAAAAA